Molecule: ribosomal RNA, 492 nt
Filed under: uncultured bacterium
Lineage: Bacteria
Description: partial 16S ribosomal RNA
Rfam family: Bacterial small subunit ribosomal RNA
Source: RNAcentral
AGUGAACGCUGGCGGUAGGCCUAACACAUGCAAGUCGAACGGCAGCACAGUAAGAGCUUGCUCUUACGGGUGGCGAGUGGCGGACGGGUGAGGAAUACAUCGGAAUCUACUUUUUCGUGGGGGAUAACGUAGGGAAACUUACGCUAAUACCGCAUACGACCUACGGGUGAAAGCAGGGGAUCUUCGGACCUUGCGCGAUUGAAUGAGCCGAUGUCGGAUUAGCUAGUUGGCGGGGUAAAGGCCCACCAAGGCGACGAUCCGUAGCUGGUCUGAGAGGAUGAUCAGCCACACUGGAACUAAGACACGGUCCAGACUCCUACGGGAGGGAGCAGUGGGGAAUAUUGGACAAUGGGCGCAAGCCUGAUCCAGCCAUACCGCGUGGGUGAAGAAGGCCUUCGGGUUGUAAAGCCCUUUUGUUGGGAAAGAAAAGCAGCAGGUUAAUACCCCGCUGUUCUGACGGUACCCAAAGAAUAAGCACCGGCUAACUUCGUG